GCCUGAGUAGCGCAGUAGGAUAGCGCGUCAGUCUCAUAAUCUGAAGGUCGUGAGUUCGAGCCUCACCUCGGGCA
This is a transfer RNA of Toxocara canis (dog roundworm), 74 nucleotides long. It matches the Rfam family "tRNA". From Rfam's summary of the family: Transfer RNA (tRNA) molecules are approximately 80 nucleotides in length. Their secondary structure includes four short double-helical elements and three loops (D, anti-codon, and T loops). The record is from Rfam. NCBI's taxonomy places the organism in Eukaryota, Metazoa, Nematoda, Chromadorea, Rhabditida, Toxocaridae.